Molecule: ribosomal RNA, 330 nt
Filed under: uncultured bacterium
Lineage: Bacteria
Description: bacterial SSU rRNA
Rfam family: Bacterial small subunit ribosomal RNA
Source: RNAcentral
UACGCAGGCGGCUUGGUAAGACAGAUGUGAAAUCCCCGGGCUUAACCUGGGAACUGCAUUUGUGACUGCCAGGCUCGAGUCUGUCAGAGGGGGGUGGAAUUCCACGUGUAGCAGUGAAAUGCGUAGAGAUGUGGAGGAACACCGAUGGCGAAGGCAGCCCCCUGGGAUGAGACUGACGCUCAUGUACGAAAGCGUGGGGAGCAAACAGGAUUAGAUACCCUGGUAGUCCACGCCCUAAACGAUGUCGACUAGUUGUCGGGAAUUUAUUUUCUCGGUAACGCAGCUAACGCGUGAAGUCGACCGCCUGGGGAGUGCGGUCGCAAGAUUAAA